GCAGGGGCGGGUUUCACGUGCGGCUGACGGGAGACGGGAGGGGGCGAUGUUGUUACUAGACGUACCAGGAAAAAUAAUUUUGACCAGACUGAGGAAAAUACAGUAAAAUGCAGUGCUUGGAUCGAGACGAGAAUCCCCUUUUGCCAUAUUUGAGAAGAACGAGGACAGUUUUGUUUGUAAAAAUCCGUAUUCUUGGUGUACCGGCAGUAUCAGUGCCUUGGGUCAGCGCCUUUGCUCAGUCUGUCUCUCUCGCUGCCCUUUGCAUGCAAGUUGGGUGAGCGGGAGAGACGGUGCUGUGCAAAGCGACGCCCGAUUGGAAACACAAGUUUGCGGCCCACUUCCUCCGCUCCGAUCGUACAAGGUGGGCGGCCAGCGCCGUGGAUCGGAGGAGUAUACUAGCCCGCCAUGCAGGCGUGCGGGCUGGUUGCCUAACAAGCGCCCGGAGUCAAGGAGGCUCCACGCCACGGUUUUAAUAGCGGCUGGGAAGCCCGAUACAAGACGCAAAUAACCCAUUUCUGAUAUGUCCUGUAAAUCAAAGCGAAGUCGUAAAGUGGUAAAACAGAUGGGUUUCGUGUUGCCAUCGCUUCGACGAUCACUGCCCACACACACCACACGGAGGACGCGGCGCCGCUGGCGCGCCCUUUGUCUGCGGCGGGGCCUGUGGCGAGGCCUGCGGCGGGGGCCCCCGGGCUGGCGGGGGGCGGUGCGCAUAGAGGCCCCCCCGACCAGCACCCUGCGCUCGCCACGCGCAAGCCGCCCCACCCCUCCAGGCGCGCCCGCCCCGACCGCCACCCCCAGUCCGCGGCGGGUGGGCCGGGCCGAGGUCCUGGAGCGGGAGAAGCUUCGCUAGCGCCGCCCCGGCCCGCGAGCACAGCUCGCACAAAGCCCUCCGCUCUCCACUCUGCCGCGCACGUCCGCCCCGCACGCCCGCGCCGCAGCCCAGAGCUCCGCCCGCCCAAGCCGUCGCCAGAGAAGCCUCACCGAGCCCGACCCAGCGAGCCCCUCUGCCCUGCCCAGGACCUCCCGCAGGACGUCCAGGACACUCAGGAAUCAGGGUGCCGGUGGUACGCGCUGGGCCCCGGGUAGUUCAGAGGGAUCACCACGACGUUCCCGACGUCCACGUGUGACCCCAGCGCCCCCCACUGGCGCCGUCCGUCCGGUCCGCGGAACUUCGCUUUACUGGCGACGCCCGAUGCCCCCGACGACGCUGGCGACGUUCUUUGACCCUGCAGAGCCCGCGACUCAAGCAUGUGAAUAAUGCAGCCUAGCCGGGUCCAGACGGCCGUUGGCCCGAACAGAAGGCGCCCGGGUCGAUGGUGGCUGCGGCUUAGGAUUCUCGAGUCAGAAUUUUUUCAAAAAAAAAUUAAAACUUUUUCAGCAUUUUAUUUUGGAAAUUAAUGAACUAUUUUGCAAAUGAAUUU
Molecule: long non-coding RNA, 1421 nt
Organism: Frankliniella occidentalis (western flower thrips)
Lineage: Eukaryota; Metazoa; Arthropoda; Insecta; Thysanoptera; Thripidae
Exons: 3
Source: RefSeq, a predicted model, not a curated record